CUAGGAGGAGUGCGUCACUUGAGUGAGUCACUGAUGUGAUUUUCCUGUCCGGGUUGGCAUCCCCCUCGGGUUCAUGCCGUGGGGGAAAUCUUUGUGGGCUAUACUCAGCCUUGUCUCAGGGUAGUAAGUUGGUGGUUGAAGAUAUCCCUCUAGUGAUGUGGGGGCUGUGCUUUGGCAAAGUGGGUGGGGUUAUAUCCUGCCUGUUUGGCCCUGUCUGCGGGUAUCACCGGACGGGGCCACAGUGUCUCCCGACCCCUCCUGUCUCAGCCUCCAGUAUUUAUGCUGCAGUAGUUUAUGUGUCGGGGGGCUAGGGUCAGUCUGUUAUAUCUGGAGUAUUUCUCCUGUCUUAUCCUGUGUCCUGUGUGAAUUUAAGUUUGCUCCCUCUAAUUCUCUCCCUCUCCCUCUCCCUCCCCUCCUGGAGGACCUGAGCCUAGGACCAUGCCUCAGGGAUACCUGGCCUGAUGACUCCUUGCUGUCCCCAGUCCACCUGGUUGUGCUGCUGCUCCAGUUUCAACUGUUCUGCCUGCGGCUAUGGAACCCUGACCUGUUCACCGGACGUGCUAUCUGUCCCAGACCUGCUGUUUUCAACUCUCUAGAGACAGCAGGAGCGGUAGAGAUACUCUGAAUGAUCAGCUAUGAAAAGCCAACUGACAUUUACUGAGGUGCUGACCUGUUGCACCCUCGACAACCACUGUGAUUAUUAUUAUUUGACCAUGCUGGUCAUCUAUGAACAUUUGAACAUCUUGGCCAUGUUCUGUUAUAAUCUCCACUCGGCACAGCCAGAAGAGGACUGGCCACCCCUCAUAGCCUGGUUCCUCUCUAGGUUUCUUCCUAGGUUCUGGCCUUUCUAGGGAGUUUUUCCUAUCCACCGUGCUUCUACACCUGCAUUGCUUGCUGUUUGGGGUUUUAGGCUGGGUUUCUGUACAGCACUUUGAGAUAUCAGCUGAUGUAAGAAGGGCUAUAUAAAUACAUUUGAUUUGAUUGACAUACAAAUGAUAAGACACACACUCUACACACACGUACACAUGUUGGUCUGAGGUAAAACACUAAAUGUAUUGUAGUUAUGUGGUCUGAGGUAACACACUAAAUGUAUUGUAGAUAUGUGGUCUGACGUAAAACACUAAAUGUAUUGUAGAUAUGUGGUCUGACGUAAAACACUAAAUGUAUUGUAGAUAUGAGGUAACACACUAAAUGUAUUGUAGAUAUGUGGUAGUAGUGGUCUGAGGUAACACACUAAAUGUAUUGUAGAUAUGUGGUCUGAGCUAAAACACUAAAUGUAUUGUAGAUAUGUGGUCUGACGUAAAACACUAAAUGUAUUGUAGAUAUGAGGUAACACACUAAAUGUAUUGUAGAUAUGUGAUGGUAGAGGUCUGAGGUAAAACACUAAAUGUAUUGUAGAUAUGUGGUCUGAGGUAACACACUAAAUGUAUUGUAGAUAUGUGGUCUGAGGUAACACACUAAAUGUAUUAUAGAUAUGUGGUAGUAGUGGUCUGAGGUAAAACACUAAAUGUAUUGUAGAUAUGUGGUCUGAGGUAACACACUAAAUGUAUUGUAGAUAUGUGGUAGUAGUGGUCUGAGGUAACACACUAAAUGUAUUGUAGAUAUGUGGUAGUAGUGGUCUGAGGUAAAACACUAAAUGUAUUGUAGAUAUGUGGUAGUAGUGGUCUGAGGUAACACACUAAAUGUAUUGUAGAUAUGAGGUCUGAGGUAACACACUAAAUGUAUUGUAGAUAUGUGGUCUGUGGUAACACACUAAAUGUAUUGUAGAUAUGUGGUCUGAGGUAACACACUAAAUGUAUUGUAGAUAUGUGGUAGUAGUGGUCUGAGGUAACACACUAAAUGUAUUGUAGAUAUGUGGUAGUAGUGGUCUGAGAUAAUACACUAAAUGUAUUGUAGAUAUGUGGUCUGAGGUAACACACUAAAUGUAUUGUAGAUAUGUGGUAGUAGAGGUCUGAGGUAACACACUAAAUGUAUUGUAAAAAGUGUUAUGAAAUGUAAUGUCAUGUUAUAUUAUUUGAUGUAUAUAACUUCCUUAAUGUUUCUGGUCCCCAGGGUUUCCUUUAUAAAUACAAAUUCUUGUAUUAAUCAAAUCUUCGCUAAUGAUGCAGAGUUUUGCCUAUAAAGCAAUGCCAUUUUCCGUUGGCAGUAGUCACCGUACAUGGUGACAAUAACAAAGAAGAGCCAAAGGUUUGUAACUUAUAAUUCAUAGAUCAUACAAAGUGUUUUCUCAGGACUCUUUUUGAAGAUGUAAAACGUGUAUGUUGAUUUGAUGUGUAUGAGGAAGUGAAUCUAGACGCAGCACUGGAAAAUUCUAAAAUUAUUCUUGACAAUUGUUGACAAGCAUGCACCUGUUAAGAAACUUAACUCAAAUCAAAUUUUAUUGGUCACAUACACAUAUUUAGCAGAUGUUAUUGCGGGUGUAGUGAAAUGCUUGUGUUUCUAGCUCCAACAGUGCAGUAAUAUCUAACAAUUCACAACAAUACACACAAAUCUAAAAGUAAAAUAAUGGAAUAUUUAAAUAUUAGGAUGAGCAAUGUCGGAGUGGUAUUGACUAAAAUACAGUAGAAUAGAAAACAGUAUGUACAUACGAGACGAUUAAAGCAGUAUGUAAACUUUAUUAAAGUACUAGUGUUUGUAACGUCCGUCUGAAGGAGUAGACCGAGGUUUAAUGCUCAUCAUGUAUUUAUUUUGAUCUUAACACUGAAACAAAGAAACCAAUAACGACCAGCCAAACAGUUCUGUCAGGUAUGUAAUACAAAACAGAAAUUAACCACCCACCAAAACACAACGAGAAAACCCCUACAUAAAUAUGGACUCUAAUCAGAGGCAAUGAGAUUCAGCUGCCUCCAAUUAGAGAUCAACCCCAAACAAUUCCAACAUAGAAACAGAAA
Molecule: long non-coding RNA, 2891 nt
Filed under: Salmo salar (Atlantic salmon)
Lineage: Eukaryota; Metazoa; Chordata; Actinopteri; Salmoniformes; Salmonidae
Description: lncRNA (ENSSSAG00000102322.1, ENSSSAG00000103955.1)
Source: RNAcentral